UUUUAAUGGAGAGUUUGAUCCUGGCUCAGGACGAACGCUGGCGGCGUGCCUAAUACAUGCAAGUCGAGCGCGGGAAGCGGACGGAAACCCUCCGGGGUGGAAAUCCGUGGAACGAGCGGCGGACGGGUGAGUAACACGUGGGCAACCUGCCUGAAAGUCCGGGAUAACCCCGGGAAACCGGGGCUAAUACCGGAUGGGCCUGUCGACCGCCUGGUCGACGGGGAAAAGUGGGGAUCUU
RNAcentral lists this ribosomal RNA (238 nucleotides) under Salibacterium qingdaonense. Its description in RNAcentral is "16S rRNA. Bacterial SSU". It matches the Rfam family "Bacterial small subunit ribosomal RNA", at positions 1 to 217 of the family's 1533-position model. Lineage: Bacteria; Bacillati; Bacillota; Bacilli; Caryophanales; Bacillaceae. The record is from RNAcentral.